RNAcentral lists this ribosomal RNA (273 nucleotides) under uncultured bacterium. Its description in RNAcentral is "partial 16S ribosomal RNA". It matches the Rfam family "Bacterial small subunit ribosomal RNA", at positions 524 to 796 of the family's 1533-position model. The record is from RNAcentral.
UACGGAGGGUGCAAGCGUUAUCCGGAUUCACUGGGUUUAAAGGGUGCGUAGGAGGGCAGGUAAGUCAGUGGUGAAAUCUUCGAGCUUAACUCGGAAACUGCCGUUGAUACUAUCUGUCUUGAAUACCGUGGAGGUGAGCGGAAUAUGUCAUGUAGCGGUGAAAUGCUUAGAUAUGACAUAGAACACCAAUUGCGAAGGCAGCUCACUGCGCAGUUAUUGACGCUGAGGCACGAAAGCGUGGGGAUCAAACAGGAUUAGAAACCCCAGUAGUCC